AAAAAAUUUAAUGAAGUAUUGUAACAUAGUAUAGUACACAUAACUAUAGUGUACAUAUAUAAUGUAUAUAUACACAUAGUAUAGUAGUAUAACUUAGAGUAUAAAUAGUAUAUGUAUGUUAUGUACAUAGUAUCAUAGUAUAACUCUGACUCUUGAGUGUUACUGGGAAAAUCUUCGUAUUUUGGCCACUACAUAUUUAGAAUGUAUUUUUAUAGAUUUCAACUUUUCACAUCAAAGAACUAUGUGCAAAGCCAGCUGAUGUAGGAGCCAGUGACCCCUUGGGUUAUGAAUCAUCAAAUGUCUUCAUGGAAAAAAAAAACAAAACCUGUCUUCAUGGCUUGACCAGCUGCACUGUCCUCAGAAAGAGCCAAGUGGGGCAACAGUGUAUUAAGGACUCUUGUGUGUGCAUUCCAUUCUUUGCAAUGCCAAGCCUUUGAAAAUGACAUUAUUUCAUGAAUGAAAUUAUUUAUUCAUAAAUAUUUUCAAAUGUAUUUCAAAUAUAUUUCAUAAAUAUUUUUGAAAAAUAUUUAUGAAAUAUUUCAAGAAUAUUUCAUAAAUGCUUUCAAAUAUAUUUCAAAAAUAUUAUUCACCAGCAUUCAUACAGUAUUAUAUCAUAAAUAAAAAUGUUAUUCAUUCAUUCAUAAAAUUUAUGAAUGAAAAUUUUAUUCAUAAAUGAAAUUAUUAUUCAAACUGAAAUUUUAUUUUUAUUUUUUAUUUAUUAUUUUUAUUUUUUUUACUUUCUUUUUAAAUACAAUAAAUCCUUAAGCCUGAAUUAUGUUUUGCCUGCCAGCUUGAAUUGGAAUUUCUUACGGUAUUACGGUCUAUACUUCAUGUGUGAGAAAAUGCCUCCAAAUCCUCCAACAACACACUUGUAGUUCAGUCCAUGGGAUAAACACUUCUGAGCUGUGACCAUAAAGGAAAGCUCUCAGUAAUUCUAAGUCCAGGGAUGAUGAAUGUCACAAAUGUGAUUCCUAAAAUUUGCACUUCAUUAACUCCAGUCCUCAUUUUCUCUGCCUCAUUUUCUCUUUCCAGACUCCCCGGCCAUCUCCCAGCAACAUCCCUAGAAACCGAGUCUCCCCAUG
Molecule: long non-coding RNA, 1082 nt
Filed under: Canis lupus familiaris (dog)
Lineage: Eukaryota; Metazoa; Chordata; Mammalia; Carnivora; Canidae
Description: lncRNA (ENSCAFG00845023791.1)
Source: RNAcentral